ACUCAAAGGAAUUGACGGGGGCCCGCACAAGCAGCGGAGCGUGUGGUUUAAUUCGACGCGACGCGAAGAACCUUACCCAGGCUUGACAUGGCACUGGAGGCACCUGAAAGGGUGCCGGCCCUUCGGGGCCAGUGUCACAGGUGUUGCAUGGCUGUCGUCAGCUCGUGCCGUGAGGUGUUGGGUUAAGUCCCGCAACGAGCGCAACCCCCGUGCCUAGUUAGGCUGUCUAGGCAGACUGCCGGCACAGAGUCGGAGGAAGGCGGGGACGACGUCAAGUCAGCAUGGCCCUUACGUCUGGGGCGACACACACGCUACAAUGGCCGGCACAACGGGAGGCGAAGCCGCAAGGCGGAGCGAAACCUACACAAAGCCGGUCUCAGUUCGGAUUGGGGGCUGCAACUCGCCCCCAUGAAGGCGGAGUUGCUAGUAACCGCGGGUCAGCACACCGCGGUGAAUAUGUUCCCGGGCCUUGUACACACCGCCCGU
RNAcentral lists this ribosomal RNA (486 nucleotides) under uncultured bacterium. Its description in RNAcentral is "partial 16S ribosomal RNA". It matches the Rfam family "Bacterial small subunit ribosomal RNA", at positions 899 to 1397 of the family's 1533-position model. The record is from RNAcentral.